Molecule: non-coding RNA, 73 nt
Organism: Araneus ventricosus
Lineage: Eukaryota; Metazoa; Arthropoda; Arachnida; Araneae; Araneidae
Source: the annotation of a GenBank genome assembly
GGUAGCGUGGCCGAGUGGUCUAAGCGCUGGUUUUAGGCACCAUCUUCGAGCGUGGUUGAAUCCCCCGCUGCCA